CACAGUUAGACAUAGCUCUGGGAGAUGGAAAUGGAAAGGAAAAUUGGGUUAGAAGCUUGAUUCAUAUGCAUUUCCUGAAAGGAAAAUGCCAACAUUGUAACGAGUUAGACAUAGCUCGGGGAGAUGGAAAUGGAAAGGGAAAUUGGGUUAGAAGCUUGAUUCAUAUGCACUUCCUGAAAGGAAAAUGCCAGCAUUAUAACGAGAAUAAGGCUGGUUGCAGUUGCCAUGCAGAAGUUCAUUGCUGAGGUUGCCACAGACGCUCUUCAGCACUCCAAGGCAAGGCAAUCUGCAGUAGUUAAAGAUAAGAAACAACAAAAGGUGAG
This is a long non-coding RNA of Papaver somniferum (opium poppy), 323 nucleotides long. RefSeq lists it as uncharacterized. The transcript has 4 exons. The record is from RefSeq and is a predicted model, not a curated record. NCBI's taxonomy places the organism in Eukaryota, Viridiplantae, Streptophyta, Magnoliopsida, Ranunculales, Papaveraceae.